CGAGAAACCCGAGGUCAAGAUCGGGGUGUCGGUGAAGCAACAAUUCACCGAGGAGGAGAUUUACAAGGACCGAGACUCCCAAAUCGCCGCCAUCGAGAAAACCUUCGAGGACGCGCAGAAGGCGAUCACGCAGCACUACAGCAAACC
Long non-coding RNA from Neopelma chrysocephalum (saffron-crested tyrant-manakin), 147 nucleotides. RefSeq lists it as uncharacterized. NCBI's taxonomy places the organism in Eukaryota, Metazoa, Chordata, Aves, Passeriformes, Pipridae. The transcript has 3 exons. The record is from RefSeq and is a predicted model, not a curated record.